AAAGGGAGACCUAAUUCAGGUAUAAGACGAAAAAAAAGUAGUCGCUACCAAGAAUCAAUCCCAAAAGGUCGGAGCGAGGCGAAAUUGGCUUUCAAACUAGGUUCUGGGUUCAAACAAGACCUGAAUCAGGAACAAGGGCUAUUAGCUCAGGUGGUUAGAGCGCACCCCUGAUAAGGGUGAGGUCCCUGGUUCGAGUCCAGGAUGGCCCACCUGUACAGGUGGCAAAAACAAGAGAAGCGAGGAAUCAGCACCUUAUCUUACUGACAUAGUAAGAGAGAAUGCUGGCUCUGAGUAAAGAGUCCAGAGGAACCUUGAAAACUGCAUAGAGCUAGGUGAAAAAGCCAAAAAAGAAGACCACAAG
RNAcentral lists this transfer RNA (361 nucleotides) under uncultured Microcystis sp. RNAcentral's name for it is "partial 16S-23S ribosomal RNA intergenic spacer". The stretch from base 136 to 209 matches the Rfam family "tRNA". Lineage: Bacteria; Bacillati; Cyanobacteriota; Cyanophyceae; Chroococcales; Microcystaceae. The record is from RNAcentral.